This 498-nucleotide ribosomal RNA is filed under the name uncultured bacterium. Its description in RNAcentral is "partial 16S ribosomal RNA". It matches the Rfam family "Bacterial small subunit ribosomal RNA", at positions 29 to 523 of the family's 1533-position model. The record is from RNAcentral.
AUUGAACGCUGGCGGCAUGCCUUACACAUGCAAGUCGAACGGUAACGCGGGGCAACCUGGCGACGAGUGGCGAACGGGUGAGUAAUGUAUCGGAACGUGCCCAGUUGUGGGGGAUAACUGCUCGAAAGAGCAGCUAAUACCGCAUACGACCUGAGGGUGAAAGCGGGGGAUCGCAAGACCUCGCGCAGUUGGAGCGGCCGAUAUCAGAUUAGGUAGUUGGUGGGGUAAAGGCUCACCAAGCCAACGAUCUGUAGCUGGUCUGAGAGGACGACCGGCCACACUGGGACUGAGACACGGCCCAGACUCCUACGGGAGGCAGCAGUGGGGAAUUUUGGACAAUGGGCGCAAGCCUGAUCCAGCCAUGCCGCGUGCGGGAAGAAGGCCUUCGGGUUGUAAACCGCUUUUGUCAGGGAAGAAAAGACUCCUGUUAAUACCGGGGGUUCAUGACGGUACCUGAAGAAUAAGCACCGGCUAACUACGUGUCAGCCGCCGCCGUAA